RNAcentral lists this ribosomal RNA (460 nucleotides) under uncultured bacterium. Its description in RNAcentral is "partial 16S ribosomal RNA". It matches the Rfam family "Bacterial small subunit ribosomal RNA", at positions 338 to 795 of the family's 1533-position model. The record is from RNAcentral.
CCUACGGGUGGCAGCAGUGAGGAAUAUUGGUCAAUGGGCGCGAGCCUGAACCAGCCAAGUAGCGUGAAUGAUGACUGCCCUACGGGUUGUAAACUUCUUUUAUAAAGGAAUAAAGUGAGGCGCGUGUGCCUUUUUGUAUGUACUUUAUGAAUAAGGAUCGGCUAACGCCGUGCCAGCAGCCGCGGUAAUACGGAGGAUCCGAGCGUUAUCCGGAUUUAUUGGGUUUAAAGGGAGCGUAGAUGGGUUGUUAAGUCAGUUGUGAAAGUUUGCGGCUCAACCGUAAAAUUGCAGUUGAAACUUGCAGUCUUGAGUACAGGAGAGGUGGGCGGAAUUCGUGGUGUAGCGGUGAAAUGCUUAGAUAUCACGAAGAACUCCGAUUGCGAAGGCAGCUCACUGGACUGCAACUGACACUGAUGCUCGAAAGUGUGGGUAUCAAACAGGAGUAGAUACCCUAGUAGUC